This 433-nucleotide ribosomal RNA is filed under the name uncultured bacterium. Its description in RNAcentral is "partial 16S ribosomal RNA". It matches the Rfam family "Bacterial small subunit ribosomal RNA", at positions 29 to 507 of the family's 1533-position model. The record is from RNAcentral.
AACGAACGCUGGCGGCAUGCCUAACACAUGCAAGUCGAACGAGACCUUCGGGUCUAGUGGCGCACGGGUUCGUAACGCGUGGGAACCUUCCCUUAGGUUCGGAAUAACUCCCCGAAAGGGGUGCUAAUACCGGAUAAUGUCUUCGGACCAAAGAUUUAUCGCCUUUGGAUGGGCCCGCGUUGGAUUAGCUAGUUGGUAGGGUAAAAGCAUACCAAGGCGACGAUCCAUAGCUGGUCUGAGAGGAUGCUCAGCCACACUGGGACUGAGACACGGCCCAGACUCCUACGGGAGGCAGCAGUGGGGAAUAUUGGACAAUGGGCGAAAGCCUGAUCCAGCAAUGCCGCGUGAGUGAUGAAGGCCUGAGGGUUGUAAAGCUCUUUUACCCGGGAUGAUAAUGACAGUACCGGGAGAAUAAGCUCCGGCUAACUCCGUG